GAUGUUACAUUCGUUUGACUUAUCUCGACAUGAAACAUUCCUGGCGUUACAUUGAUCCUGAUCCUGUUGGGUAUUGCAUCUAGUGACGUCACUACAAUACGGGUACGUUGUGACAAAAUGUUGAUGCCUGGGAAGCAGAAUUUCGAGUGAGUUCUGCGAGACGGUACAGUCCCUUCCUUGCAACCGUCAGUGG
Long non-coding RNA from Macrobrachium nipponense, 193 nucleotides. RefSeq lists it as uncharacterized. The transcript has 3 exons. The record is from RefSeq and is a predicted model, not a curated record. NCBI's taxonomy places the organism in Eukaryota, Metazoa, Arthropoda, Malacostraca, Decapoda, Palaemonidae.